This 845-nucleotide ribosomal RNA is filed under the name marine metagenome. RNAcentral describes it as "bacterial SSU rRNA". It matches the Rfam family "Bacterial small subunit ribosomal RNA", at positions 8 to 900 of the family's 1533-position model. The record is from RNAcentral.
AGAGUUUGAUCAUGGCUCAGAACGUACGCUGGCGGCACGCCUUAUACAUGCAAGUCGAACGCAGUAGCAAUACUGAGUGGCAGACGGGUGAGUAUAAUGUGGGAAUCUGCCUUUUGGUUUGGAAUAACUCGGGGAAACUUGAGCUAAUACCGGAUAAGCCCUUACGGGGAAAGCUUUAUGCGCCGAAAGAUGAGCCCGCACUUGAUUAGCUCGUUGGUGAGGUAAUGGCUCACCAAGGCAACAAUCAAUAGCUGUUCUUAGAGGAAGACCAGCCACAUUGGGACUGAGACACGGCCCAGACUCCUACGGGAGGCAGCAGUAAGGAAUCUUGCACAAUGGGGGAAACCCUGAUGCAGCGAUGCCGCGUGAGUGAAGAAGGCCUUUGGGUUGUAAAACUCUUUCGUUGGGGAAGAAAAUGACUGUACCCAAAUAAGAAGGUCCGGCUAACUUCGUGCCAGCAGCCGCGGUAAUACGAAGGGACCUAGCGUAGUUCGGAAUUACUGGGCUUAAAGAGCUCGUAGGUGGUUAAAAAAGUUGAUGGUGAAAUCCCAAGGCUCAACCUUGGAACUGCCAUCAAAACUUUUUAGCUAGAGUGUGAUAGAGGAAAGUGGAAUUUCUAGUGUAGAGGUGAAAUUCGUAGAUAUUAGAAAGAACACCAAAAGCGAAGGCAACUUUCUGGAUCAUUACUGACACUGAGGAGCGAAAGCAUGGGUAGCGAAGAGGAUUAGAUACCCUCGUAGUCCAUGCUGUAAACGAUGUGUGCUAGACGUUGGAAAUUUAUUUUUCAGUGUCGCAGCAAAAGCGUUAAGCACACCGCCUGGGGAGUACGACCGCAAGGUUAAAAC